GGGCUGGUAGUCCAACGGCAAGACGCCACGUUCGCAUCGUGGAGACUUCGGGUUCAAAUCCCGACCAGUCCA
RNAcentral lists this transfer RNA (72 nucleotides) under Candidatus Parvarchaeota archaeon. RNAcentral describes it as "tRNA-Ala". It matches the Rfam family "tRNA". From Rfam's summary of the family: Transfer RNA (tRNA) molecules are approximately 80 nucleotides in length. Their secondary structure includes four short double-helical elements and three loops (D, anti-codon, and T loops). Further hydrogen bonds mediate the characteristic L-shaped molecular structure. tRNAs have two regions of fundamental functional importance: the anti-codon, which is responsible for specific mRNA codon recognition, and the 3' end, to which the tRNAs corresponding amino acid is attached (by aminoacyl-tRNA synthetases). tRNAs cope with the degeneracy of the genetic code in two manners: having more than one tRNA (with a specific anti-codon) for a particular amino acid; and 'wobble' base-pairing, i.e. permitting non-standard base-pairing at the 3rd anti-codon position. Lineage: Archaea; Nanobdellati; Candidatus Parvarchaeota. The record is from RNAcentral. RNAcentral also lists the same sequence under 2 other names.